This 67-nucleotide transfer RNA is filed under the name Marmota monax (woodchuck). Its description in RNAcentral is "tRNA.Ala". Lineage: Eukaryota; Metazoa; Chordata; Mammalia; Rodentia; Sciuridae. The record is from RNAcentral.
GGAUGUAGCUCAGUGGUAGAGUGCUUGCCUAGCACAUGCCAGGCCCUGGGUUGGAUCCCCAGCACCA